Molecule: transfer RNA, 57 nt
Filed under: Erinaceus europaeus (western European hedgehog)
Lineage: Eukaryota; Metazoa; Chordata; Mammalia; Eulipotyphla; Erinaceidae
Rfam family: tRNA
About the family: Transfer RNA (tRNA) molecules are approximately 80 nucleotides in length. Their secondary structure includes four short double-helical elements and three loops (D, anti-codon, and T loops). Further hydrogen bonds mediate the characteristic L-shaped molecular structure. tRNAs have two regions of fundamental functional importance: the anti-codon, which is responsible for specific mRNA codon recognition, and the 3' end, to which the tRNAs corresponding amino acid is attached (by aminoacyl-tRNA synthetases). tRNAs cope with the degeneracy of the genetic code in two manners: having more than one tRNA (with a specific anti-codon) for a particular amino acid; and 'wobble' base-pairing, i.e. permitting non-standard base-pairing at the 3rd anti-codon position.
Source: Rfam by way of RNAcentral
UACCUCAGUGGUAGAGCACAGGACUUGUGAGCCUGAGGUCCCAGGUUCUAACCCUGG